GCCAGGAGUGGUGGCUCACGCCUAUAAUCCCAGCGGCUUGGGAGGCUGAGGCAGGAGGAUCACGAGUUCAAAGCCAGCCUCAGCAACGGCGAGGCACUAAGCAACUCAGUGAGACCCUGCCCCUG
This 125-nucleotide small RNA is filed under the name Marmota monax (woodchuck). The record is from RNAcentral. Lineage: Eukaryota; Metazoa; Chordata; Mammalia; Rodentia; Sciuridae.